This 468-nucleotide ribosomal RNA is filed under the name uncultured bacterium. RNAcentral's name for it is "bacterial SSU rRNA". It matches the Rfam family "Bacterial small subunit ribosomal RNA", at positions 330 to 793 of the family's 1533-position model. The record is from RNAcentral.
CCCAGACUCCUACGGGAGGCAGCAGUGAGGAAUAUUGGUCAAUGGGCGGAAGCCUGAACCAGCCAAGUCGCGUGAGGGAAGAAGGCCCUGCGGGUCGCAGACCUCUUUGGACGGGGAGCAAGGCCGCCGACGUGUCGGCGGAAGGAGAGUACCCGUAGAACAAGCAUCGGCUAACUCCGUGCCAGCAGCCGCGGUAAUACGGAGGAUGCGAGCGUUAUCCGGAUUUAUUGGGUGUAAAGGGCGUGUAGCCGGGCCGGCAAGUCAGAUGUGAAAUCCCAAGGCUCAACCUUGGAACUGCAUUUGAAGCUGUUGGUCUUGAGUAUCGGAGAGGCAGGCGGAAUUCCUAGUGUAGCGGUGAAAUGCGUAGAUAUUAGGAGGAACACCAGUGGCGAAGGCGGCCUGCUGGACGACAACUGACGGUGAGGCGCGAAAGCGUGGGGAGCAAACAGGAUUAGAUACCCGGGUAAG